UACAGAGGUCUCAAGCGUUGUUCGGAUUUACUGGGCGUAAAGCGCGUGUAGGCGGCUGGUCAAGCGUGGUGUGAAAUCUCCGGGCUCAACCCGGAAACUGCAUUGCGAACUGACCUAGCUGGAGUGCAGGAGAGGGCAGCGGAAUUCCCGGUGUAGCGGUGAAAUGCGUAGAUAUCGGGAAGAACACCAGUGGCGAAGGCGGCUGCCUGGCCUGUAACUGACGCUGAGACGCGAAAGCGUGGGGAGCGAACCGG
Molecule: ribosomal RNA, 254 nt
Filed under: uncultured bacterium
Lineage: Bacteria
Description: partial 16S ribosomal RNA
Rfam family: Bacterial small subunit ribosomal RNA
Source: RNAcentral